Molecule: ribosomal RNA, 372 nt
Filed under: uncultured organism
Description: bacterial SSU rRNA
Rfam family: Bacterial small subunit ribosomal RNA
Source: RNAcentral
CAGAGGUGGCAAGCGUUGUUCGGAAUUACUGGGCGUAAAGGGCGCGUAGGCGGCCUUCUAAGUCAGACGUGAAAUCCCCAGGCUUAACUUGGGAACUGCGUCUGAUACUGGAGGGCUCGAGUGCGGGAGAGGGAUGUGGAAUUCCAGGUGUAGCGGUGAAAUGCGUAGAUAUCUGGAGGAACACCGGUGGCGAAGGCGGCAUCCUGGACCGACACUGACGCUGAGGCGCGAAAGCUAGGGGAGCAAACGGGAUUAGAUACCCCGGUAGUCCUAGCCCUAAACGAGGAGUGCUUGGUGUGGCGGGUAUCGAUCCCUGCCGUGCCGAAGCUAACGCAUUAAGCACUCCGCCUGGGGAGUACGGUCGCAAGGCUG